GAUGAAGAACGUAGUGAAAUGCGAUAAGUAAUGUGAAUUGCAGAAUUCAGUGAAUCAUCGAAUCUUUGAACGCACAUUGCGCCCGCCAGUAUUCUGGCGGGCAUGCCUGUUCGAGCGUCAUUACAACCCUCAGGCCCCCGGGCCUGGCGUUGGGGAUCGGCGGAGCCCCCCGUGGGCACACGCCGUCCCCCAAAUGCAGUGGCGGUCCCGCCGCAGCUUCCAUCGCGUAGUAGCCAACACCUCGCGACUGGAGAGCGGCGCGGCCACGCCGUAAAACACCCAACUCUUCUGAAGUUGACCUCGAAUCAGGUAGGAAUACCCGCUGAACUUAAGCAUAUCAAUAAGCGGAGGA
Molecule: unclassified non-coding RNA, 352 nt
Filed under: soil metagenome
Description: partial contains 5.8S ribosomal RNA, internal transcribed spacer 2, and large subunit ribosomal RNA
Rfam family: 5.8S ribosomal RNA (bases 1-120)
Source: RNAcentral